UUAAUUCUCGAUUUUUUAAUCCUAAUCAAUACUUAAAAAAAGAUGUUUUUUGGAUGACCAAAAUGAAAACGACCUAAAAGUUAAGUGAUCAAAAUGAAAGUUCAAACAUGAUGUGGCAUAGACAGUUAACUUCUGUUUGAGAUUUAAUGUUUGGGUGACUAAAAUAAAAGCGCUUUAAAAAUUGAAUGACCAAGUUGUAUGGAUUUUAUUUUCAAUGAUAAGAAUAAAGACACCUUAAAAAUUGAAUAAGUAACAUCGUUGAUCAAUAAGGCUUAGGCUUCCUUUGGUUUGGCUUUUACAGCCAGUGUGGUGCAGUUGGGGGGGGGAGGGGGAAUUGUACCAAUUUCACUGCUGGGCUGUUUGGUUCAGCAAGUCAAUGCAGUGAGAUUGCAUCUCCACCACGCUGCUCAGCUAAAAAUCAGCUGGUGAUUUCAACAGCAAUGGAGGUGCAGUGAGCUGUUGGUACUUUAGCUCUCCAAAAAUACCCUUACUUUUAUUUAUUAUUUUACCAUUUUAUCCUUGAAAGUUAAACUAAUUUCUUUUCCAAUCUUAUUUUUCUUCAGAUUUGGCAGCCAAAUUCUGCUGAAAACCCUGCUCUUCAACUCCUACUCUUCAAUUGACACUCCUACAAAACCCCACCAACAACAAGCAGACUCAAAGAAACUCUGUUAUUCGACUCAUCCUAUCAAUCUUGUUCUCAACUUCGAUCUGGUAAGUCAAAACCCUUCUUUUUCCACUCUAUAUAUGUGUUUGAAUUGUAUCAAAGUAGUUUCUUUUUUUCCUUCUCAUCUUGUUCUUAGCUAAGAAAAUAAUAACUAUCUGGGUUCAUUUGUUUGUGCGUGAGGUAGAAAUACUAAACCAUAAAAGGCUUCCUUGUGACCACAUAUACUAACAUCCUGAAGGUAGAAAUAUUAGGAUUUUAUUAGAUAAUGGUAUACAGAGAACAAUAUACGACUACAACAAUAGAAAAGAACGUGACGGGUUACCAGGCAAAGACAUUAUUAAAAAUAUAUCACAUAUAGGAGUCCAGGAUACCAAAGGCUUUACUGGCAGUGUCAUGACAUGACAUAUGUGAUUUUAUUAGAUAAUGGUUCUUUAAUACUUUUUUGAGGGAAGACUAUAGUUCACUACUGUCUAUAUUUGGAAAUUAUCAUUUAGCACCAAACAGAAUUACUACUUUAGCCAUACCUGUGUACUAUUGUUUGCCAGUCAUCUCCACCAUACUUCGUUUCUUUUCUAUGGAUCAAUUUCUUUGGUUUUCGAGAUAUCUUAUUUUCCACUCUACCAUCUGAAGCCAUCUCUAACAUCUUCUCUGCAAGUUCAUCAGCCUCAUGCUUGUUUCCUCUUUUCCCAAGUCAUCAACCACUGGCAUGAAUGAUGCAGGGUCAAAUAUAUGAUAAAACUAACAGUUAUUAUGGCUAUGCUUAAACUAACAGUUGAUUAAUUUGAAGGGGAGGGGGUGAAGAAACUAAAAGUCUAACAAAUGCAAAUAUAUGAUAAAAUACAUAAGAAGAGUUACUGUUAAGUGUUAACCUUCAAAACCUUCAGAAUUACUUAACUAAUUGAUGCAAAGGCUUUUACAAAGGCCUAAACUCAUGGUGAUCAAUGCCAUGAAACAAUCAAGUACGUACAAACAAUAAUGAUUCACUUGUUAUUAGGUGGAGGACAAUAAGUGAAAAGAAUACUUCAUAUAUGAACAUAGGUUUUGAAACAGAUUAGCAAUCAUAAUUUGUAGGGGGAAAUUAUGCAGCCAGAGUCAUAACAAAGUCAACCGAAUCAUUUAUCAAAUAACCAUCAAAGCUGCAACAUCCAAAGAAUUUACAGACUUCAAGCUUUCUUCACAUAGGGCAUGGCAUCUAAUAAUCUGUUCUAAACCAACAAUGCAGCACAUGGAUCUUCUUCCUCUCCGAGUAUAGCAAGUUUAUUACAUGAAACUAAUAUGCUACCAAUUUCAAUUACGUCUGAAAUCCAAAACAUUACAAACAAAAACCCAAUAGCUAGAUAUUCACUUUUAUCAUGUCAGUCAAAAGUUAUAGUGCUAAAAACUAGUUUCUCAGAGCAUGAAAGUGUAUAAAAACCUUAUGAAAGGGGAGGGGGUGAAGAAACUAAUAAGUCUAACAAAUGCAAAAAUAUGAUAAAAUACAUAAGAAGAGUUAUUGUUAAGUGUCUAAACUCAUCAACAUUCUCGCAUAAGUUACUGUAUCAGGGGAAAGACCACUCCUUACAAUAAAACCCAUCACCAUUCUCGUAUCAGAAAGCAUCCCAUUCUUGCAUAGACCAUCCAUCACAAUGUUAUACGAGUAAAUAUUAGGUUCUACACCUUUAUCUACCAUAUCUUUAAGUACCAAAUGAGCCUCUACUAACUUUGAAUUUCUUAGCAACCCCAACAACCAAAUAUUAUAACUAUCUAAAUUCAUCAAAUCACCAAUUUUCUCCAUGGACUCAACCAAGGCCUUUGCUUCCACCAACAUCCCUUGCUCAUUUUUUUUAUAUUCUUGAUAAGUGUUUAAAAAAUAAAAGCUCAAUUCAAAAGGCAACUACUCCAUCUAUCUAGUUAUUGAAUUGAAAAAAUAUAUCCAAAGUAGAUGAGAGAAGGGAUGAAAACUAUAUGUAGAGUUUUAAGAAACAUAUAGAAUACAAAAAUAAACCUUUCCUGUAAUAAAACAGUUAAAAAGGAGUCCAGUACUGAAACCUAAGUUCCUUACAUUCAUCAUAAUCAACUACUAGGCUUUCAACUGUUUUAAACCAUAUAUAAAUAUAUUUAUGUCUAUACUUGCAUGGCUUAUAAGAUAUAUAUAUGCUUACCAGAGAUAAAGUUGGUAGAACAUUAGAGGCUGCUGCUUGCAUGUCAGCUGCACCAAAAAGUAAAAUAAAUAAUAAGCAGAGAAAGAAAUAUAUAUGCACAAUAAUGUGAGAAUAUUAAUUAUGAAUAUGGAAAAUGAGCAAGUGAUUGUUUAAUUCUUCAAAGUUUAUAGGGUUUAAUUAUGAACAUCCCUUACACCAUCCUCUCUCAUUCUUUCCACCAAUUUUUCAAUAUCACCAGUUUUACCUUCCUUAUAAAAACUUGAAAUCAAUGUAUUAUACACAACUUGUUAGGAAAAAUCCCAGAACUUCUCAUCUCAUCCAAAAGCUCUAACCCUUUAUUAGCAAGGCCAAACCUACAAUACCCAUGAACCAAAAUCCUAGAACUAAACUCAUUUGGCAAGCAACCUUUCUCAGGCAUUUUAUCAAACAACUCUCGGGCAUCCUCCAAACAACACCUAAAAUCCUUGAUACUAAAUGAUUUCAGCACUACAAUCCUGAAAAAUGAAUGUGUUUCAUCAUCAACGGUAUGUAUCCAAAUCCUUCCACCGACCAAAACUCAAUUCAAUUGCCUAGGUUGGCACUCAAAAGUCAAAACUACUAAAAGCCUCCUCUCCCCUUUCCACCGUAUUAUUAGUUUAUUACCUAAAAUGUACAUUAGUGGGGAACAAUGAAUAAUUAUGAAUAAUACAAGGUUACCAACAGAAUUUAGAAGAAUUUAACCUACUGUUUGUAAAAGGAAAGAAAGACCCCUGCAUUAAAUGUUUGGUAAAGCUCAAUUAAUUCAAUCCAAAACUAAUGGGAACUUUAAAGACAUACUAUUAUAAAUAUAAUUAUAAUAUAUAAAUAUUAAAAUAAAAAAUAGUAUAAUAGGCCAAUUUUGGCCUGGCUAAAAAACAUUUACAUAGCUCAAAUAAUUCGGCCCAAUAAGACCCAAUUUACUAACCCUAAUCUGCUAGCCUAAAAAACACAAAGGGUAUAGCAGAAACCCUAGUAGCCGCCGCAGCAAUCUCACCCUCGCACGCCGCCGCAAAUGGCGCGCAUGCGCUCCUCCUAGCAUGAACCUACAAAAGGCAACAAGCAAUAUAGGCAAGAAAAUCAGAAAAUUGCACAUCAAGCAGAUAAUAGAAUGAUUUUUUCCUUUAUUUUCUUGUUUCAUUACGGCUAUAAAAAGCCAAUUAAAAUUUGUAAAAUACGGGGGUAGAAACAUUGAUUGAAAAAUUAAAAAAGAAAAUACAAGAGAGAAAAAGACUAUUGAGAAUUCAGAAAAUAAAAGGUGAAACACCAUUGUUAACGAUUUUUAUUUUUUUCUUUGCUUAUUCUCUUUUCGAUUCUUUUUCUUUUCUUUUUCUUUUUGGUUAAUAUCUACUGGUUAUUUAAGAAAAGAAACGAAAGGCUAAAUUUUACCUUAUCGACGCCGUCGAAACCUCGUCGCUUCGUCGCAGUCGGAGAUUGAAGGAAGGCUAGGGCUAAACGGCGGUAUUGAGGGGGUUAAAGAAACCCUAAAAAGAACUUUUUUUCAAAAAAGAAGGAUCUGAAGUAUUCUUUUAAUUUUGAUUUUUUAACCUUAAGGAAAAUACAGAACGGCGCCGUUUUGGGAGGGGGAAUCCGCGCGUCGACCCGGCCCGCAGGUUGGGUCCGCGCAUUUCCACUUUAAAUGGGAAAUUGCGCAACAAGCCCUCCCUCUUUUGCGUCAUGUUUUAUUAAACCAGUUGUUUCUUUUUAAUUUGGCCCGAAUGUUUUUACCUUUGUUCAUUUCAGCCCAUAUCGCUGCACACCAUUUUGGGGAGGCGGAUUAUUUCCAAUUUGGCCCCCAUGUAAUUCGCAUAUCGCGAUUUAGCCCAUUAUUUCGCUUAAAUUUCAUUUAUUUCUUGUUAUUUUAGUUUUUUCAACUAUUUGGUCCCUUUUUACAGUUUGUUAUUUUUUUAAAUUUAUUUUCUCCUUAUUAUUAUUGAUAUUGUAAUUAUUAUUUUCAUGUACAUACAAACAUUUUUUUAUAUAAUAUAUAUACUUUUAUAUUUUUAAUUUCAAAAGCUGGUUUUUACUUUUGUAAAUAUGUACAUACGUAUACUUAUUUUUUUAUAUUAUUCUUCAUUAUUUUACAAAUGUAUAUAUAUAAAUAUACGUACACAUUUUAGAAUACACAUACAUUUCCCAUAUUUUAUAAUUUAAAAUAUACAUUCAUUUUCUAUAGUAUAUAUAUAUACCCUUUUUUAUAUUCUUAAAUUAUUAUAAACAUUUUUAUUGUUCUAUAUAUUCCAUUAUUUUAUACAUAUUGUACAUAUAUAUAAGUAUUUAAACACAUACAUAUUUUCAUGAUUUACCUAUAUAUACUUAUACAUUUUUAUUCCGUAAAUAUAUGCUCAUAUACAUACUUUUAUUUUUUUUUAUCUUACUGCCACAAUUUUCGCAUACAUAUAUACAUACAUAUUUUUUUAAAAUUACUAUAAGUUUUUUUUCAUAUAUUUCAUUCCUUUUUAUGUAUACUUAUAUGUUUUUUUAAAUAUAUGCAUACACAUAUUUUCAAAUUUACUUAUAUCAUAUAUAUACAUAUUUUGUAAAUACAUAUACAUAUAUAAUUCAUAUUAAAGUGUUUGUUUUAUGUUAUAUAUUAGCAUUUUAUCAUUUCUUUUUAAAACAAGAGGAUAUAUUUAGUUUCAUCAAAACAUUAAGACUGUUUUGGUCAAAGGUUUUCAAGGUCAUGCAAAUAUUUGAUAUUUGGGAUUUUCGAGAAAAUUGAGCCCUAACGUACUGGGUUCCGAUUUUCCUUGUUAACCCUAAAUAAUCGAGACAUUUUUUUAAACACAUAAAUAAAAAUCAUUUUUGAGAAUUCAACACAUUGUGUCUUAACGCAUUGGAUGUGACGCAUUGAUUUCUUGAAAUGAGGAUCUUUUUUAAAAGAUAAUAAAGGAAAUAUUCUGAGUUUGAGAUUUUGGAGGAAUUGUACCCUAACGUAUUGGGCCGCGAUUUCUUAAAUCUUGAAUAAAUGGAUAUUCUUUUAAAUUUUUAUUACACGAAUAUUCUGGCCUAAUUCAUUUUUGAGGAAAUUAGAAUGUCGUGCCCUAACGCAUUGGGUAUGGCAUUUUCUUUCUCUGAAAUGAUAAGGGUCUUAAUACGUAACGUUUUUAAGUUUUUGCUAAGGAUUAUAUUUUUCAAAUUUUCGACCUUAAGACAUUAAUUAAUUAACUAGGUACCAAUUUUUUGGGCGUUAUGAGGGUGCUAAUCCUUCCUCAUACGUAAUCGACUCCCGAACCUUUUUUUCUAAAAUUCGUAGACCAAAGUCGUUUUUAGGUGACCCAAUCACACCUUAAUAAAAGAUUGGUGGCGGCUCCCAAUUUUCAUUUUUUAAAGUCGACAACCUAAAAUUUUUGUUUUUCAAAAAAAUGGUUUCGACAGCUUGGCGACUCCACUGGGGAUUUUUAAAAAAAUAAGAGAGUCGAGCUACAAAGUUGAUUAAUUUUUGUCUUAUGGUCGAGAAAAUAUUUUUAAAAAAAUUCAUGAAGUCCUUUUGCAUUCAUUAUCUUCUUGCUUAAUGUGUUUAAGUAUUGUUUGCAUUACACAUUACAUGAGUUGAAUGAUUUUACCCUUUUAAGUGGGAGUGAGAAACUAUUCCUUCGUGAGGUUUUCACCUCCGUAUAGGAUAGUGGAUUGCUUUCAGAGUACAUCGGCACCUAUGACUUCGUGAGAUUUUCAUCUCCGUGUAGUCAUAGGGAAAAUGUAUUCCCCUGAACCGAACUUGAUCUAUAUGAGCCUAUAAUGAAUGAAGAUCGAGGAAUCUGCUGGUUCGGGUACCUUUGCUCUAGAAGCCGAACUUCAUAUAGUGAGCCUUAGGAAUCCACCUUAGGUAGAACUAUACUGAACCCUAGUAGAUAUCCGACUAGGUAUUUUUAUUUCUUGAUUAUAUUCUAUGGUUUUAUAUGAUACUGACUUUUUGUGCCUUAUUUUGAUUGCAUGACAUGGCAUUUCAUUUCAUUAUAAAAGGUGUCGGUUCAUAUUCAGUUGCUAGAUAGAAAGCUUAUCAUGGAAAAAGGGUUUCUUGAUAAAGUGGAAAAUAAUACGGUUGCCUGAAUAUAUUCUGAGAAACACAAGAAGGGUGAUAGAAGAGUUUGUGACUUUACUUUGUGGCCCGAGGAUUUAAGAUGAUUGUCUAAGAGCUUUCGACGUUCCAAUUCCCUUAAAGAAGUUGAUGAGCAUUACGAGAAUAGGAAAACGAUGGAUCGUGACCAGGAUCAAGAAAAAGGGAGCUAGCAGUGGCAUCUAUUGGAAAUUUGCGGGAUUUAUCUUAAGCAUGCGGAUGAAGAAAAAGAUCGAUGUUGUCUCUUGGAAUAUAAGGGCGUGUUCGUACAUGUAUCUGCUUUAUGUAAAGAAAUUUGCUUUCUAGUAAAGUUUUCUAAAUGUAAUUGAAUCAGAAUCAACGUCUUUUUUGCAUUCAUUUCAUGCAUUGCAUUACUUCAUAUGCAUUUAAAAAUAUUAAAAGAUUGUAAUUAAUUUAAAUCACUCCUCAGUUAACCUGGAAACCAACCAGCCUACUAAACACCGCUACAGUACUCGAUCAAAAACUAAGGACAUGGAUCAAAGGAUGAAAAGGCUAGAACAGUUCCAAAAGGAAAUGCAGGAGCAGCUUCAACAGCAAAUGAAUGAGCAGCAAAAAAUGAUAGACAAAAUGAUGGAAUCUCAAGGGAGUAUGAUGGCCCAGUUAACUCAAUGGUUGAACAAGGGAACUGAUAAAGGAAAAGGCUCUGUGCUCAAUGUUGAAGAAGGAGAUAGCAAGGGACCUGUUUAUCUCCCAGGUUUUACCCCACAACAUGUUGAGAUUUAUCCACACAAAUCUUCUGUCACCAUUAAGCCUCAGCAGAUCCAGGCUGGCGCUACAACACAAAUAAAUUUUCAAGUAGGAUUGGGCUCUAACCUUGGAGACAACCUUGUUAAUCCUGCUAUCCUUGACUUCGAUGAAAUAGUUGGAAAGGAGAAAAUGAAUGAUGAAUUGCCAAAACAACUAGAAGAAAAGUACAAAUGGCUAGAUGAGAAAUUUAGAGCAAUGGAAUUUGCUAAUAGCUACUAUGGGAUUGAUGCUAAAGAAUUGAGCUUGGUUCCAGAUUUGGUACUCCCAUACAAGUUCAAAAUACCAGAAUUUGAGAAGUACAACGGAACUAGUAGCCCCGAAGCCCAUAUUACUAUGUUUUGUAGACGGAUGACUGGGUAUGUUAAUAAUGAUCAACUGCUGAUACAUUGCUUUCAGGAUAGCCUCAUAGGGGCGGCAUCCAAGUGGUACAAUCGGUUGAACCGUACCUAGAUUAAUUCAUGGAGAGAUCUAGCACAUGCGUUUAUAAACAGUACAGCCAUGUGACUGACAUGGUACCUGAUAGAAUCACUCUACAAAAUAUGGAGAAGAAAUCCAAUGAAAGUUUUAGGCAAUACACACAGAGGUGGAGGGAGGUUGCCGUCCAAGUUCAGCCAUCUCUUCUAGAGAGAGAAAUGACAAUGCUUUUCGUUAACACAUUGAAGGCCCCAUUCAUUACGCAUAUGUUAGGAAGUGUUACUAAAAGUUUUUCUGACAUAAUCAUGAAUGGUGAAAUGAUUGAAAGUGCCAUAAGGAGCGGAAAUAUUGAUGUUGGAGGGAAUAACAGAAGGCAAGCCUCAAAAGAAAUAAAAAAUAAGGUGAACAUCGUGAAUACGUACAGCAAAUCGAUUGCUAAUUAGCAGGGUUCAUCAAGAUAAGAAUCAUGUGUGAAGCAAGGUACUAAAAAACCUCCAGUUCACGCCAAUUCCAAUGUCGUACAAGGAGCUGUAUCAAAGCUUAUUCGAUGCGCAUGUUGUUUCUUCUUUACAUGUGAAGCCUCCACAACCUCCAUUCCCCAAGUGGUAUGAUGCGAACGCACAAUGUGAUUACCAUGCGGGAAUUACGGGGCACUCAAUAGAGAAUUGCAUUACCUUCAAAAAGCUAAUUGAAAAAUUCAUCAACAUGGGUAUUGUCAAGUUGGAUGAUUCAUCUAAUCCGCUACCCAAUCAUGAGUGAUAAUGGAGUGAAUGCAAUAUAUGAAGAUGUGUUGGGAAGGGUUCACAUUAAUGUCAUAUACAAAGACAUAAUUGAAAAGGGACAUUAUUGGAUGUCCGCCCUUAUAAAUUUGGGAGUGUUCAAAAUAAUUGGAUUGCGGAAGAAAUUUCUGUAGUUUCUAGAGCUUAUUUAGAGUAAUGUUCAGAAUAUUCUUGUUUUUUUUAGCCUAAAAAUGAUAGGAAUUCCUUUAUGAAAUAGGCUCAUGUCUGAACAUCAUUAUUCUAAUAAAAUACAUCUUUGCAUUUAUUUUUGAGCCAACAUUCUUUCAUUCUUUUGAAUUUUCUUCCACAUCAUUCUUUCAUUCAUAAUUAUAUUAUACAAAUAAUUAUCCAUAAAUUCACACAUUCUUUUGUAUAUUCUUUUGCGCUUACUAUGGGUCUCCAGAUAUCAAUGGGUAUAGCAGAAACCCUAGUAGCCGCCGCAGCAAUCUCACCCUCGCACGCCGCCGCAAAUGGCGCACAUGCGCUCCUCCUAGCAUGAACCUGCAAAAGGCAACAAGCAGUAUAGGCAAGAAAAUCAAAAAAUCGCACAUCAAGCAGAUAAUAGAAUGAUUUUUUCCUUUAUUUUCUUGUUUCAUUACGGCUAUAAAAAGCCAAUUAAAAUCUAUAAAAUAGGGGGCAGAAACAUUGAUUGAAAAAUUAAAAAAGAAAAUACAAGAGAGAAAAAGACUAUUGAGAAUUCAGAAAAUAAAAGGUGAAACACCAUUGUUAACGAUUUUUA
Molecule: long non-coding RNA, 9577 nt
Filed under: Gossypium barbadense (sea-island cotton)
Lineage: Eukaryota; Viridiplantae; Streptophyta; Magnoliopsida; Malvales; Malvaceae
Description: long non-coding RNA (GBAR_LNC017882)
Source: RNAcentral